Long non-coding RNA from Sinocyclocheilus grahami, 106 nucleotides. RefSeq lists it as uncharacterized. The transcript is spliced from 2 exons. Lineage: Eukaryota; Metazoa; Chordata; Actinopteri; Cypriniformes; Cyprinidae. The record is from RefSeq and is a predicted model, not a curated record.
UAUUGUUAAGAAAAGACUGAAGGUGGCAAAAACAAUGGGAUAAGGAGAAAAAAGAUCGGUGGUUUUACAGAAUUCAAAGGAAAGUGGGAGAGAUGAGAAGUGCAGG